AUUUAGAGGAAGGAGAAGUCGUAACAAGGUUUCCGUAGGUGAACCUGCGGAAGGAUCAUUGUCGAUACCUGCACAGCAGAACGACCCGCGAACCCGUAAAAACACACCGGGGGGCUCGGGGCCACAUGCCUCGUACCCUCUUUGGUCGGGGGCUGCACCCGUGACCCGCCUGGCGGUGCACGUGUGCCGCUCUCCCGGCCGCACAAACGAACCCCGGCGCAAACCGCGCCAAGGAAAACCCAACGGAUUGGCAUCGCCCCGUCGCCCCAGAGAUGGUGUGCGGUCGGGGUGUGCGUCGUAUUCUAUCAAUGUCAAAACGACUCUCGGCAACGGAUAUCUCGGCUCUCGCAUCGAUGAAGAACGUAGCGAAAUGCGAUACUUGGUGUGAAUUGCAGAAUCCCGUGAACCAUCGAAUCUUUGAACGCAAGUUGCGCCCGAAGCCUUUAGGCCGAGGGCACGUCUGCCUGGGCGUCACACAACGUUGCCCCCCCCAUCCCCGACCCCGAGGGCGGAGGGGGCGGAUGCUGGCCUCCCGUGCGCCGCGGCGUGCGGUUGGUCGAAAUGCGAGUCCUCGGCGAUGGGUGCCGUAACAGUCGGUGGUUGUCCAACCCUCGGUGCCCUGUUGCGUGCACGGAUCGUCGUUGCGGAUCGAGAGACCCCAAUGCGCCGCUGCUGCGGCGUCUCCAACGCGACCCCAGGUCAGGCGGGGCCACCCGCUGAGUUUAAGC
Molecule: unclassified non-coding RNA, 728 nt
Filed under: Hovenia acerba
Lineage: Eukaryota; Viridiplantae; Streptophyta; Magnoliopsida; Rosales; Rhamnaceae
Description: partial contains small subunit ribosomal RNA, internal transcribed spacer 1, 5.8S ribosomal RNA, internal transcribed spacer 2, and large subunit ribosomal RNA
Rfam family: 5.8S ribosomal RNA (bases 319-474)
Source: RNAcentral